Molecule: ribosomal RNA, 196 nt
Filed under: uncultured bacterium
Lineage: Bacteria
Description: partial 16S ribosomal RNA
Rfam family: Bacterial small subunit ribosomal RNA
Source: RNAcentral
ACGCUCGACACCUACGAGGCAGCAGUGGGGAAUAUUGCACAAUGGGGGAAACCCUGAUGCAGCGACGCCGCGUGGAGGAAGAAGGUCUUCGGAUUGUAAACUCCUGUUGUUGGGGAAAAAGAGGAUGGUACCCAACAAGGAAGUGACGGCUAACUACGUGCCAACAGCCGCGGUAAUCUGAGCGGGCUGGCAAGGC